This 769-nucleotide long non-coding RNA is filed under the name Homo sapiens (human). Its description in RNAcentral is "HSALNT0221555". Lineage: Eukaryota; Metazoa; Chordata; Mammalia; Primates; Hominidae. The record is from RNAcentral.
GCCAGCUCCACCGUACGGGUUGUGCCCGCCCCUCCCAGACCCCGAUCACCCGCAGCUACGAGAGUUGCCGCCGCCAGUGUGUGCCGGGCGACGUCGCCCACGCCCCUGCCAGCCAUCCUCACAGCAGCAGCAGCCCUGGUAGAAAUUGAUGUGGGCACCCUCUCGACCCGCCCCUGUACUUGUCUUUGUCCCAGCUCUGCGGACUGAGCCUACCUCUCUUCCUUGGGCCUCCAGAAUUCUCUGAAUUGCUUAAGUCUCUGGCCUCAAAUGCCCCAAGAUCCUCCUUGGGAGACCUCUCUGACAGGGAGCUUGGGGGAGAGCAGAGGGGCAUUGACUUAACUCUGCUGGAGGGAUCUUCUGAGGAAGAAACUUCUCCUUCUGCAUCCAGGCUGUGCUGGGCCCUGGACUCAGAGGAGAGGUGGUCCCAUGCCAUUGGAUUGCAUCUAUGACUUCGGGAGGUAGGGCGAAGACUGGUCCCCCAGACACCACAGAGCUUCCCAUCUUCUUUUGCCAGGUAAAGGUUGGGGGCUGCUCCCAGGAGCCCACAUCAAAUCUGUUUGCUCUGAGGCCUAGAACCACAAGGCCCCUAGUGCUUCAAAAGCCAUGGGGGUUCUCAUAGGACCCAGGAACUCUAAGGUGGCUUCUGAAGCUCAGACCCCAGGAAGGGAGAGCUUGGAGUGGGUCAGGAGACCAGGGAACCAUCUCUCAUUCCACCUCUUCUUCAUUGCAGGCCCUUAGACAAAAGCCACCCUCUGAUACCUCCUUGGCC